RNAcentral lists this ribosomal RNA (802 nucleotides) under uncultured bacterium. Its description in RNAcentral is "bacterial SSU rRNA". It matches the Rfam family "Bacterial small subunit ribosomal RNA", at positions 8 to 811 of the family's 1533-position model. The record is from RNAcentral.
AGAGUUUGAUCCUGACUCAGGAUGAACGCUGGCGGCGUGCUUAACACAUGCAAGUCGAACGGGAAUUACUUUAUUGAAACUUCGGUCGAUUUAAUUUAAUUCUAGUGGCGGACGGGUGAGUAACGCGUGGGUAACCUGCCUUAUACAGGGGGAUAACAGUCAGAAAUGGCUGCUAAUACCGCAUAAGCGCACAGAGCUGCAUGGCUCAGUGUGAAAAACUCCGGUGGUAUAAGAUGGACCCGCGUUGGAUUAGCUAGUUGGUGGGGUAACGGCCCACCAAGGCGACGAUCCAUAGCCGGCCUGAGAGGGUGAACGGCCACAUUGGGACUGAGACACGGCCCAGACUCCUACGGGAGGCAGCAGUGGGGAAUAUUGCACAAUGGGGGAAACCCUGAUGCAGCGACGCCGCGUGAAGGAAGAAGUAUCUCGGUAUGUAAACUUCUAUCAGCAGGGAAGAUAGUGACGGUACCUGACUAAGAAGCCCCGGCUAACUACGUGCCAGCAGCCGCGGUAAUACGUAGGGGGCAAGCGUUAUCCGGAUUUACUGGGUGUAAAGGGAGCGUAGACGGUGUGGCAAGUCUGAUGUGAAAGGCAUGGGCUCAACCUGUGGACUGCAUUGGAAACUGUCAUACUUGAGUGCCGGAGGGGUAAGCGGAAUUCCUAGUGUAGCGGUGAAAUGCGUAGAUAUUAGGAGGAACACCAGUGGCGAAGGCGGCUUACUGGACGGUAACUGACGUUGAGGCUCGAAAGCGUGGGGAGCAAAUAGGAUUAGAUACCCUGGUAGUCCACGCCGUAAACGAUG